RNAcentral lists this transfer RNA (68 nucleotides) under Marmota monax (woodchuck). RNAcentral's name for it is "tRNA.Ala". Lineage: Eukaryota; Metazoa; Chordata; Mammalia; Rodentia; Sciuridae. The record is from RNAcentral.
GUGGUGGCUCAGUGGUAGAGCACUUGCUUAGCAUAUGUGAGGCUCUGGAUUCGAUUCCCAGCAGCACA